This 2143-nucleotide long non-coding RNA is filed under the name Eucalyptus grandis. RNAcentral's name for it is "long non-coding RNA (EGRA_LNC002536)". The record is from RNAcentral. Lineage: Eukaryota; Viridiplantae; Streptophyta; Magnoliopsida; Myrtales; Myrtaceae.
GGCAAAAUGCAAUUUCGAAGAAGUCGCGGGGAGAACUUGUAAAAUCCGAAAAAGGAAAGGUCAAAGUUGUAAAUCCGAAAAGGGAAAGGUCAAAGUUGUAUUUCCUUAUAAAUUCUGGCAUCACGGACCAAACGGCCCUAAAAUCGCCAUCGUACGCCCCGAAAGCUCAAAGGUACGAUUUUCUGUGUCUCAAAUUCCAAUUUGAAUUCGCGUUCUGGUCUCGCGGUCAUCUAUUUCCUUUGAGCCAUGCGUCCGUUGAUCCGCUUCAAUCCCAUUUUCCUGCUAUUUUCCCGGGAAAAUUUAGCGAGAAAAUGAGGAGGAAGCCGGUAAGAACGGUCUUCCUGUUUCCAAACCUGCGUCGCUGUCCGUUCUUCGGAUGAUCCUACGCUGUGGUUUCAUCCGUUUGAUGUUCGAUUGACUCGAUUUGGGAUUUUUCCUGUCUUCGUCCCGAUUUUGCGAUCUAGGGUUUUAUCCUCUUUGGGGGUUUUUCUUGCAUAGCCGCAAGUUGUUUUCUUUGACUUAUCUUUUCUCGAUGCUUGCGCGUUCUGAGCUUGGGAAUCUAAAUAUAGGGCUCCGUUGAGUUUUUUCUACGUGAAGUCGGAUGUGGGGUGACUCUGAAAACUUGCAUUCGUUUCGAUCUUGUAUCUGCUUGUGGGUAGAUUGCCCGAAUUCGAAUCGAGGUACAAGGAGCUUGAUUUUCUCAUUGAAAGGGGAUGCUGGACGUCUGCCUGCUCCUUUUGAUGAUGUGUCGAAGGAGUCGGAGCUCAAAUCGCAUUGUCGAGACGAAGCGGGUCUUCUUUUAUCUUAUGUCGCCGAGUAUGAUAGUCUUUUUUAUCGGGGCAUUGAGAGGGAAGUACUGCCGCGGCGGUGUUCUAGUUCUCCAAUUGGAUUCAGUGAGAUGCCAGAAAGGGCCUUAGUAGUAUAGUGGAUCUAUUUAAUGCCUUACCUUAGUGCUAGUCUUGAGCUGUAGCAUUGGAGGUUAGAAUUUAUGGACCUUUACAACUGCCGCGAAAAAGGAAAACAAGAAAAACUUGAGAAAUUGUGACAUGAUUUAUGUUCAUUAAAUGUGGAGGACAAGUUUGUGCCAGAUUGUAGCUAGAUUGUGCAUUUAAAAGCCAUGAAAGGCCUCAGAAUAUAACAUGUGGAGGACAAGUUUUUGCCGGAUUGUAGCUAUAGAUUAUGCAUUUAAAAGCCAUGAAAGGAUUCGGAAUUUUUAUUUUUCUUUGUGCCGUUAAGUUACCCAUGUAGCUGAUUUUGAAGAGAUGGGAUUGUUUCUUAUAUUGCAGGAAAAAGUUUAUAGUAUAUGGAUAACAAAUCACCACCGUGCAAGGAGGUUGCUGACGAAUUGACUCGGGAGUCACUUAUCGCGAUCUCUUAUUUAGAACCGGAUAACCCUGCCAAUAUGAAUGUUCAACCUAAAAGCUGCAUUGUUGCAAAUGAUGAUGCAGUGACUGAUGGUGACAACACCGAGAAGUACAGGUCAGAGCUCAUGUCCAUCUCUGAAUUGCCGCCGCCUAAUACUUCACCUGUUGCUGUGGAUCCUUGAGGAUUAAGGGGGUUUCAAUUUCUUUGAAAGACCAUUUUGACUAAGUGACAAGCUUGCUUUGAUGUAGAACAAGUGGAAUGUCUUUUAAUGCUGCUUUCUUCUUCUGUGGAGCUGUCAAAUUCUACUGAAAAUAUGUGCAGUAUCGAACUCCAUGUACAAAAGUGAUGUAUGAUCAGUUUGAGAAAAUGCACAAAGAAAUUGGUUUGAGCUUUACUAUAUCCUUGCCUUUUGUCUCUUAUUUGUCUGAUUUUCGUUUCAGGAGGGUGACACAAGUAUUCUAGAUCCGAUUCGAUCAUCUCAUUGUUCGCUUUGUUUUACCUCCAGAAAACCUUGAGACCUAUACUCAAAUACCGAACCCAAAAUGCUACUCUGAUGAGUUUAGUCUUGGUUAUGUUUGCUUGCUCAAUUGGCCAUCUGCCUUUGUGUGGUGGUAGCCUUUGCUGUGACUGUUUAUUUUACAUGUUUCCCAGAGACUGAGAUGAUCUAUUCUUCAAGACAGCAAACUGCUUUCAGAGCCCAAGCACGAGGCAUCAUUCAUGCAAGUUUUUUCUUAUGCCUCUGUGGGUGCCGAGAACUUUAUUAUCUACUUUGCCUGUG